AUGCUUUUAAAAUCGCUUAUUGAAGCUGAUGCUCUCUUCUCAUUAAGGAAUAGAAUGGUCCUUCCCAAUCCCCUUAACCCUAGCGCUUCACCAUACGUUGCAACACCAACACCCAACGAAAUCAAAGUUCUUUCACGGUGGAUGGCUUGUUCGACGGAGCAGUCCGGUCAGUUGGAAGUGGCGUGCGGUGAGUGGAGGCUUUGCGGUUACUUCUGGAACGUGGUGGGCAGCUUCAUAGACGGAGGUCCGGUGGGUAUUCGCGGCGGUAUGAGUAACGUCUGA
Non-coding RNA from Vicia faba (fava bean), 282 nucleotides. The record is from the annotation of a GenBank genome assembly. Lineage: Eukaryota; Viridiplantae; Streptophyta; Magnoliopsida; Fabales; Fabaceae.